This 121-nucleotide non-coding RNA is filed under the name Cellulomonas sp. Its description in RNAcentral is "TPP sequence". It matches the Rfam family "TPP riboswitch aptamer (THI element)". Rfam says of the family: Vitamin B(1) in its active form thiamin pyrophosphate (TPP) is an essential coenzyme that is synthesised by coupling of pyrimidine and thiazole moieties in bacteria. RNAcentral also lists the same sequence under 1 other name. Lineage: Bacteria; Bacillati; Actinomycetota; Actinomycetes; Micrococcales; Cellulomonadaceae. The record is from RNAcentral.
CGCGAACGACAGGGGAGCGUCCGUCCCGCGUGCGGGGCGAGGACGCUGAGAGUGCGGACCACCGCAGACCCUCGAACCUGAUCCGGGUGAUACCGGCGUAGGGAGUCGGGCUUCUCUCCUC